CUUUGAGCGAUUCGUCUAAGUGAUAACGUGUUUCCAAAUGUCCAGGUAAUGCCUGAAGCACUUCCUGUUGCCUUUAGCGAACGUUUCGGCCGGAUCUAUCAUAAUCCUAAUGGGUCAUGUAUUCUUCAGCUGGCGGAGGGGGGCUCACUGUAAAAUCCCUUAUAGGACACAGGUUGACAUACUUAAACCAGGACAAAACACCACCACAUCAUCAUCGUGAUCUAAAAGCUUAUCUUCUAAAUGGAUGGAUGAUCGAGUGAACAACUCCAUAAAUGCCCUGCCCGUAUUCCAGACGUGACGACAAUUAACUUUUCUUACCCUAAAGAAAAACUCUACGCCAGAAAACCGAAGUUAUCUCACUUCACUUGCUUCGUGACGGAUAUGGUUCUACUUUUUAUUACGAUUUGUUCUUCGCUCUUCCGGUAUUCCGAAGGAUAACCGUCACGGCAAGCAACUUCUAGCUUAAGUGGUUUAUGUCACUUUAUUCCAACGCAUUCGCUUAUUCAAACUUAUGUAAGAAAUAGACUCUGGAAAUGACAUCGCGU
Molecule: long non-coding RNA, 545 nt
Organism: Varroa destructor (honeybee mite)
Lineage: Eukaryota; Metazoa; Arthropoda; Arachnida; Mesostigmata; Varroidae
Source: RefSeq, a predicted model, not a curated record